Molecule: long non-coding RNA, 1185 nt
Organism: Ruditapes philippinarum (Manila clam)
Lineage: Eukaryota; Metazoa; Mollusca; Bivalvia; Venerida; Veneridae
Exons: 3
Source: RefSeq, a predicted model, not a curated record
CUCUAGCUACAUGUAACCCAAUACCCAGAACAAAUCUUCAUCCUGGUCAUUUAUACAGAAGUGUUUGAAUGUUUGGAUCUGCUUACAAGUUUUAAGAUAUGUUAUCAUGAGUGCAUGAGCUAGUAAAAAAGUUAAAUGUGAUUAAUAUUGUUAUUUAGUUGAAAUGAUUCCAACUAAUACAGGUUUACAACAAUUUUCUGAAACUAUAUUAACAUGUAUAAUGGGACAGCAAAUGUGUACUUAAAGUUCCUGUUAAAAAUGGAGGCAAAUUGAUAAGCAAUUCUAUGGAAUAAAUUUUCGACCAAAUUCUCCAAAAGUCAGUGAGAAGUUUGAAAAUGAAAGAAGAAAAGGAUACAAAAGAAUACAGAAUUUACUUGGAUGCAGAAGAGGUAUUCCCAUCAUAUAAAAUCUGCAAACCAGCAUUGUGCCAGUGAAUCUGUUUGGAAAAGACUGAAAGUGAAGGACAUGUAUAAAUUGAAAUUUAAUUGAUGUUAAGCUCAAAAGAAUCUUUUGUUUUACAGUGUUAUACCUUUAUGCAUGGAACCGUAUUUGUUAAUGAGGGUGAAAUGACUGAAUAAAUUUCUUUGAUGUAACAUUUAAUGAAUUAUUAUUGUUUAUCAAUUGAAAGUUGAUACUGUAAUGCUCACCUGAACAAAAAGUGCUCAGGUGAGAUUUUGUGAUUUCCUGAUGUCUGUAAAACCUUAAUUGUAAUUAAUCCAUUAAGUUUAAAGAUUCAAGAGAAAUCUAAAAAUGUUAGCUGAUUUUGGAGCUUUUAAGUUUUGUAGUGGGGCUUCAAUAGUACUUUUUCACUGGGACUUAAUUUGUACUUCAUCAAUAUGCUUCAUGUGUGCUUCAAAGAGAAGCUUCAAGUAUGCUUCCUAACUGAGACUUCAUCUGUACUUCUUUAUGGGCUUCAAGUGUGCUGCAUUACACUGAAUGCCCUUAAUAUGUAAGCUUCAAAUGUACUUCUCAAGGGGUACUUCAAAGAUACUUUAAAGGAGUACGGUUGAAGCCUAAUUAGCAUAAUUCGAACGCGCUUCAAAGGAGCUUCAUCUAUGUGUUGGCCAUUACCAUUUCCAUCAAAUAGAUGAAAGCACAUAUGAAGCAGGGACUGCAACCAAGCUUCUUAUAUACUUUACCAGAGGGCUUCAAAUAUACUUAUAAUAUACUUGAAUUGUGCUCUAU